RNAcentral lists this long non-coding RNA (1022 nucleotides) under Felis catus (domestic cat). RNAcentral describes it as "lncRNA (ENSFCAG00000045826.2)". Lineage: Eukaryota; Metazoa; Chordata; Mammalia; Carnivora; Felidae. The record is from RNAcentral.
AUGAACACCUACUGUGUGCCAGCCAAUAAGCUGGAUUCUGGGAGCACAGAACUAAAUGCAAAUGUAAUUCCUACUUUCAAGCUUCUCACAGUUUUGCCUGGAAGGUCAUCUAUGUGCCAAAGGAUGUCAUGCCCUCCUUGUCAAGAACAAGAAACAGGUUUGGGGAAGCCUGGAAGAUACUCACCAAUGGGAUGGUGUGGCAAGUUUGGUGGUUCAGCCAUGGCAGAAAGGAACUAAGGACCACUGUGCAUCUCCUGAGGGCAAAACAACUUUGGAUGCUUUGUGUUUGUGAUGAACAAUGACUACCUAGGGUGGCUCCUGUGAUCCUUCAUUGGAAGCUCUGAGGAGGGAGUAAAUUGCAAAAAGGAUCCAGGUGGUGACUGGCAAUCAGGACUGGUGAUCAGGUCUGCUAAACCUCAGAGUCUGGCAUUAUUUCAUACCUGACAUGUCUCUCUCUACCCAGGCCAUACAAUUUCCAAAUCAUUCCCCAAAAGAUGCCAGAUUUAUGAGCAGAAAUGGAUUGACUAUAACAUGUUCCUCCUAUAGGAAAAACAACUCCGAGUGCACAUCUUAAUGACAGUGAGUCUGCAGUGUCAUCUACAUAUCCCAGGACAACAUAACACCCACAGUAGAUAACCCUUAAUUACAGGACAACAACUUUGUAUAAGGCGCUGGGCUGAGCACUCUAUACACAAGAUCUUGUUUCAUCUUAUUAUUAUCUCUAUUUUGUAGGUAGUUAAGUAACUUACCCAAGUCAUAAGUAAAACCAAAUCAUUUGACUCCAGAAUUCAAACUUAAUGCCUGUAUUCCAGACCACUGGCGUAUAGUUCUUCAUUGCCUCUCUGUGAAGAAAAAACACCAGUGGGACUGUUGUCUGAGAAAAUGCCUCCAUGAGGCAGCCAACCUCAGUACCUUGCAGAUUUUUCCAAUUCUAAUUUUCAGGUCCUGUUUCAGUUACCUGUGUGGAUGGUAAUAGCCUGAUACACCGGUAUGAAUAAAACAGGUGUCCCAUCCCCUAAGCA